RNA transcript from Sphaeramia orbicularis (orbiculate cardinalfish), 1890 nucleotides. It is a transcript of the gene named epoxide hydrolase 5, with no coding region annotated. The transcript is spliced from 10 exons. Lineage: Eukaryota; Metazoa; Chordata; Actinopteri; Kurtiformes; Apogonidae. The record is from RefSeq and is a predicted model, not a curated record.
CUGGGACGCCCUUCGUCUACCGUUCCUCACGCAGUCGCGGUGUGUUCGUUUUAGACGUCAGUGAGUGCCGUUGUGUCCUGCUCUGUUUUCUGCGUUUAUCACAAAAACUCAAAAUACAUUACAACUCCAAGAAGGUAUUUGGAAACGGCUGAAUUCUGUUGAUUGCGCACAAGUUUCAAGUGCAAUCCGGAAGUCUCACUCUGACCUCUUUUCCAGUGCGCACCUACCUGUAGCUGUUCACCUUUGACCCAGCACGAUGGAAAAACUACAUAUUUUAAAGGAAGCUUUCCUUGGUCUGGAUGUUGUCCAGCAGCGGCUUCUGAUAGGUUCAGCUGUUGCAGCUGGGGGGAUAUUGGCGUGCAUGGUGCAUAAAAGAAGACAAGUCAAAACUAUCCCCCUCGGUGAAGGAUGGUGGGGAGCUGGGCAGAAGUCACUGUCAAAAGAUGAUAACAUCUACAGUUUCAGAGUGGAAACCUCAGAUAAAGACAUUGAGGACCUUUAUGAGCGGAUUGACAGAACACGCUACACGGAUCCAUUGGAAGACAGUGGCUUCCAUUAUGGUUUCAAUUCCACCUACCUGAAGAAAGUGGUUUCCUAUUGGAGACAUGAGUUUGACUGGAAAAAGCAGGUGGAAAUGCUGAACAAGUAUCCACACUUCAAAACCAAAAUAGAAGGACUGGAUGUGCACUUUAUCCAUGUGCGGCCCCCACACCGUGAGAAUCAGAAGGUUCUGCCUCUCAUGCUUGUUCACGGCUGGCCUGGAUGCUUCUAUGAGUUUUACAAAAUAAUACCACUACUCACAGAGAACCAGGAUGGUGUUGCAUUUGAAAUCAUAUGCCCAUCUAUCCCUGGUUAUGGUUUCUCAGAAGCCCCGCAUAAACAAGGAUUUGACAGUCUGUCUGCUGCAAGAAUUUUCCUGACACUGAUGGAGCGUCUAGGCUUCUCCCAGUUCUAUCUGCAGGGUGGAGACUGGGGCUCCCUUAUCACCACUAACAUGGCCCAGAUGAAGCCUCAGUGUGUGAAAGGCCUCCAUCUGAACAUGUUUCUUUCAAGAAGAGGAUUCAAAGUGCUGCUGGGCCUCAUGUUUGGCCGUUACCUGCCUUUCCUUGUGGGUUUAACGUGGGAAGAUGUCCGCCGCCUGUUCCCUUACUUUGAAAAGAAUGUUUGGGAAAUCCUGAGAGAAACAGGCUACUUACACAUUCAGGCCACUAAACCAGACACUGCAGGCUGUGGAGUGAAUGACUCUCCUGUCGGCCUGGCUGCCUACAUCCUGGAGAAGUUCUCCACGUGGACUGAUCUGGAGAACAGAGCCCUGGAAGAUGGCGGGCUGGAGAGGAAAUUCAACCUGGAUGAACUCUUGACAGUCAUCAUGAUCUACUGGACCUCAGGCUCCAUCGUCUCUUCCAUGCGCUUCUACAAAGAGAACACCAAAAGAAAUUUUGACAACAGAGUGGACCAGAAGACAGGGAUAUUUGUUCCCACAGGACUGGCAGCAUUCCCAAAUGAGCUGAUGCACUGCCCCCAGGCAUGGGCACAAAUUAGGUAUAAAAACAUCUACUCGUAUACGUUCAUGUCUCGAGGAGGUCACUUUGCUGCCUUUGAGGAGCCAAAGCUACUGGCUGAUGACAUUUUGCAGUUUGUUAAAAAAGUUGAGAAGCCCUGAACUUGCACAUGCGUUCUGACCAAAUGUAAAUGGUCUUUUUUAUCACUCUGUUUGAUUCCAUUCAAUACUUCAGUGCUUUUUACUUGAUUUCCCUACAACUCUACAUUGCCUACAGAGUGGUUUUAACUGACAAACUAAUGAUAGUGGCACUUUAAUGUUAAUAACAAAGAAAACAAUAUAUUAUAUUUUUUUAAUCUUUAUUAUGAUUAAUAAAAAUAUUGCACCAA